Molecule: ribosomal RNA, 777 nt
Filed under: uncultured maize root archaeon ZmrA30
Lineage: Archaea
Description: bacterial SSU rRNA
Rfam family: Archaeal small subunit ribosomal RNA
Source: RNAcentral
UAAGCCAUGCGAGUCAUUGUAGCAAUACAAGGCGGACGGCUCAGUAACACGUAGUCAACCUAACUCGUGGACGUGGAUAACCUCGGGAAACUGAGAAUAAACCACGAUAGACCAUAGUGCCUGGAAUGGCUUAUGGUCCAAACAGUUUACUGCCAUGGGAUGGGACUGCGGCCUAUCAGCUUGUUGGUGAGGUAAUGGCCCACCAAGGCGAUUACAGGUACGGGCUCUGAGAGGAGAAGCCCGGAGAUGGGUACUGAGACACGGACCCAGGCCCUAUGGGGCGCAGCAGGCGAGAAACCUUAGCAAUGUGCGAAAGCACGACUGGGUCAGUCCGAGUGAUUCCUGAUAAAGGAGUCUUUUGCUUGUCCUAAAAGCACAGGUGAAUAAGGGGUGGGCAAGUCUGGUGUCAGCCGCCGCGGUGAUACCAGCACCUCGAGUGGUCAGGACGUUUAUUGGGCUUAAAGCAUCCGUAGCCGGCUUUGCAAGUCUUCGGUUAAAUCCACCUGCUCAACAGAUGGGCUGCUGGAGAUACUACAAAGCUAGGGAGUGGGAGAGGCAGACGGUAUUCAGAGGGUAGGGGUAAAAUCCUCUGAUCCAUUGAGGACCACCAGUGGCGAAGGCGGUCUGCCAGAACACGUUCGACGGUGAGGGAUGAAAGCUGGGGGAGCAAACCGGAUUAGAUACCCGGGUAGUCCCAGCUGUAAACGAUGCAAACUCGGUGAUGCAUUGGCUUAUGGCCAAUGCAGUGCCGCAGGGAAGCCGUUAAGUUUGCCGCCU